UCCCUUACGUUUAGAAAGUUUCAAUUUGAUCUCUUACGUUUAUUUUAGGUUUCAAGUUAGUCAUUUCCGGAAGUUUUGUCACUAACACUGUUUGAACAGUACACGUGUCAAUGUGUACAAGUGCCACGUGUCUGUCCACAUAUGCAAAUUGGCUGUCACAUUGACAAAAUUGACGGAAAUGACUAACUUGAAACAUAAAAUAAACGUAAGGGACCAAAUUG
RNAcentral lists this long non-coding RNA (221 nucleotides) under Trifolium pratense (red clover). RNAcentral's name for it is "long non-coding RNA (TPRA_LNC013261)". The record is from RNAcentral. Lineage: Eukaryota; Viridiplantae; Streptophyta; Magnoliopsida; Fabales; Fabaceae.